RNAcentral lists this transfer RNA (73 nucleotides) under Chitinophagaceae bacterium. RNAcentral describes it as "tRNA-Thr". It matches the Rfam family "tRNA". Rfam says of the family: Transfer RNA (tRNA) molecules are approximately 80 nucleotides in length. Their secondary structure includes four short double-helical elements and three loops (D, anti-codon, and T loops). Lineage: Bacteria; Pseudomonadati; Bacteroidota; Chitinophagia; Chitinophagales; Chitinophagaceae. RNAcentral also lists the same sequence under 2 other names. The record is from RNAcentral.
GCCGAAGUAGCUCAGCUGGUAGAGCAGCUGAUUUGUAAUCAGCAGGUCGGGGGUUCGAUUCCCUUCUUCGGCU